RNAcentral lists this ribosomal RNA (607 nucleotides) under Escherichia coli. RNAcentral describes it as "partial 23S ribosomal RNA". It matches the Rfam family "Bacterial large subunit ribosomal RNA", at positions 2259 to 2860 of the family's 2925-position model. The record is from RNAcentral. Lineage: Bacteria; Pseudomonadati; Pseudomonadota; Gammaproteobacteria; Enterobacterales; Enterobacteriaceae.
UGGUGGGUAGUUUGACUGGGGCGGUCUCCUCCUAAAGAGUAACGGAGGAGCACGAAGGUUGGCUAAUCCUGGUCGGACAUCAGGAGGUUAGUGCAAUGGCAUAAGCCAGCUUGACUGCGAGCGUGACGGCGCGAGCAGGUGCGAAAGCAGGUCAUAGUGAUCCGGUGGUUCUGAAUGGAAGGGCCAUCGCUCAACGGAUAAAAGGUACUCCGGGGAUAACAGGCUGAUACCGCCCAAGAGUUCAUAUCGACGGCGGUGUUUGGCACCUCGAUGUCGGCUCAUCACAUCCUGGGGCUGAAGUAGGUCCCAAGGGUAUGGCUGUUCGCCAUUUAAAGUGGUACGCGAGCUGGGUUUAGAACGUCGUGAGACAGUUCGGUCCCUAUCUGCCGUGGGCGCUGGAGAACUGAGGGGGGCUGCUCCUAGUACGAGAGGACCGGAGUGGACGCAUCACUGGUGUUCGGGUUGUCAUGCCAAUGGCACUGCCCGGUAGCUAAAUGCGGAAGAGAUAAGUGCUGAAAGCAUCUAAGCACGAAACUUGCCCCGAGAUGAGUUCUCCCUGACUCCUUGAGAGUCCUGAAGGAACGUUGAAGACGACGACGUUGAUAGG